This is a long non-coding RNA of Mirounga angustirostris (Northern elephant seal), 3619 nucleotides long. RefSeq lists it as uncharacterized. NCBI's taxonomy places the organism in Eukaryota, Metazoa, Chordata, Mammalia, Carnivora, Phocidae. The record is from RefSeq and is a predicted model, not a curated record. The transcript has 3 exons.
CUGGUCUCCGCUCAAUAUAUUCUGAUUUCUUUAUUGCUGAGAGAAGUUAAAGAUUUAAAUAAAGAAGACUCUGUUUAUGGAUUGAAAGAUUUGCUGAUUCCCUCCGAAUUGAUCUAAGGAUGUAACACAAUCCCAUUCAAAAUCUCAGCAUACUUAAAAAAAAACAAAGAAACUUAAGCUAAUUCUAAAAUUUGUGGGGAAAUACCAAGGAAUUGGAGUCAUCAAUACAAUCUCAAAAAAGAGCACAGUAGGAAGACUCACACUCUCUGAUCAGGAUUUGCCAUAAAUACGGAACCAGUGUGGUGUGGUUUGGUCUAGUGAAGUCCGAGAGGCCAGGGGUGCGGUCCAGCUGGUUCACCCGGGAGCCCCACUGUAGAGUAGGUCACGGCACAACAGACUCUCAGAAACUUGUAGAAUGGAUGCAGAAGUUUCUGCCUGCCACCCACACGUGAAGACAGCCAGGGAGAGACUGGGAUAUGGCAGGGCUGAAGCAGGGGAGACUUGGAAGCCAAUGGGAUAGUGUUGGGACCAAGCCCAGCUCCCCCCAACCUGGAGGAGAGUGGCAGCAGAUUGCUGCUCAUCUCUGAAGCUUGCACUGCACAUGGAACACACAUCAUCCUUAUGGGGAGGAGAUGAACGCCAGGUCCUGUGUCCCACUGCUGAGACAAUGGCACCGGGACCUUCUGUACUGUCACUGGCUCUGCAAAAGGAUGACAGAUGCAGUUUGUGCCAGGGGGUGGUAUGCACCAGGGGACAGUAUGCACCAGGGGGCAGAAUGCACCAGAGAGUGGAAUGCACCAGGGACAGUAUGCAUCAGAGGGCAGAAUGCACCAGGGGACAGUAUGCACCAGGAGAAAGUAUGCACCAGGGGACAGUAUGCAGUAGGGGAUAGUGGACACGGGACAGUAUGCACCAGGAGGCAGUAUGCACCAGGGGGCAGUAUGCACCAAGGGACAGUAUGCACCAGGGGACAGUAUACGUCAGGGACAGUAUGCACCAGGGGACAGUAUGCACCAGGGGACAGUAUGCAGUAGGGGACAGUAUGCAGUAAGGGACAGUAUGCACCAGGGGAUAGUAUGCACCAGGGGCAGUAUAUACCAGGGGGCAGAAUGCACCAGGGGAAAGUAUGCACCAGGGGGCAGAAUGCACCAGAGAGCGGAAUGCACCAGGGACAGUAUGCACCAGAGGACAGAAUGCACCAGGGGACAGUAUGCACCAGGGGCAAUAUAUACCAGGGAGCAGAAUGCACCAGGGGGCAGAAUGCACCAGGAGAAAGUAUGCACCAGGGGACAGUAUGCAGUAGGGGAUAGUGGACACAGGGGACAGUAUGCACCAGGAGGCAGUAUGCACCAGGGGACAGUAUAUGUCAGGGACAGUAUGCACCAGGGGACAGUAUGCACCAGGGGACAGUAUAUGUCAGGGACAGUAUGCACCAGGGGACAGUAUGCACCAGGGGACAGUAUUCACCAGCAUGCAUGCCUUCCUUGUAACUUCAUCAGCAUGAUUCCUUUUGAUCAAAAUGUAUCACUCUUUUUGGUUUGAAAAUCUCGUUAAAACAUUCAAACAUUUUUACGACUCUGACAUGAAUCGUCAGCUUGCCCCAUGGAGAGAAUUUCUCUGUUUUACAGGCUCCCCCCCCACCGCCCCGUAUAUGCCCCUUUACUCUUCAAAAGGCUCAUUCCUGCCUUUCCAGCUUGAUGACCUCCUGCAAGUGAGUGUGGGUUUCUGCGUUUAGUUAAUUUGCGUGUUGUUGUUCUUGAACUGUUUCUUGGUUUGCAUUCCUCCCCAUCAGGGUCUGAAUCCCCAACAGUGGGAUUGCAGUAUUUGCCACAAGGCUUGGCACAGAACAGCCUUACCCAUAAAAAUGAGUAGUGUAAAGGUAGGCAUGGGGCACAUUCAUCCCCAGACAGAGCAUAUUUGUGAUUUUAAACCCUCACGUCCUCAAUUAAAUUAAAAAUCCGUUGAAAAGGCACUGGCAAAGGUUGGGUGAGCGUGUGGGGGAAUGGGCGCUCACGCACGUGCGUGGGGAUACAAUGGCUUCCGUGUCUCUGGAAAGCAGUUUGCCAGUGCCGUCCCACAUCCUUUCAACCACACCUAAGGAAUAUCUGAAGGAAAUAAAAAGGAACCGGAGAUGCAUAGAAAGAUGUAUUUGUGUACCGAUGCGUUCACGGCAGCAGAGCUGGUACAUAAAUUGGAAAUAGCUCAGUGUCCCUCCGGUGGCAUCUGACUUAAAUCGAGUGCAGUGUGUUCAUGCAAGGAAAUUCAGUGCAAUCCUUACAAUUCACGUUCUGGAAGAUCUUUGGAACGAUACGGUGGAAACCAUGUGUAACAUUACAUGAACAAAGUGGAUUGGGGGGCACCUGGGUGGCUCAGUGGGUUGAGCGUCUGCCUUGGGCUCAGGUCAUGAUCCCAGGGUCCUGGGAUCAAGCCCCGUAUAGGGCUCCCUGCUCAGCGGGGAGUCUGCUUCUCCCUCUUGUGCACUCUCUCUCUCUCUCGAAUAAAUACACUCUUAAAAAAAAAAAAGAAAAAAGUGGAUUAGGAAAACACACAGUGUGGUCUCAGUAUUGUGAAAAUACCUGUGUAUAAAAGUGCACAGAGAGGAGAGUGGAAAGAAAGAAUAAAAAUACAGAAGUGCUUACAAUGAUUUUUUUUUCCUUCUCGUACUUGUCUGUACUUUCCAGCGUUUCCGCGAUGAACACAUAGGACUUCUACAGGUGGCGUUUCUGAGCAGACUCCUGACUGACAGGCUUCUUGACUCAGAGAUGUGGGGACAACGAGAAGCCAGAAAAGCGACGAGAGGCUGGUUUGAUUAAAGAGCAUCAUCCACGAAAAUCAUGAAACAGGAGAAGGGAUGUUACUGCAGCCCAAGGUUUCCUAGUCAUGAAUUUUCAUACAGGAAAGAUGCAGCACAUGACGCCUGUUAGGACAGUGGGGACUUCAGCACAUCCUUGUGAGCAAUCGCAAACCCAGAGGGCGUGAAGGAGUCAGGCCUCCCAGGACCAGAGCCUCACGCCCCUGCUGUCCUGCUGUGCGUCUUGUUUGGGGGGCAGGAGCUUCCCGUCAAACAUCCGUAAAACUUGUCCACGUUCUAGGCCAGAAACAAUAUCAAACUCCCCAAGUGGAAACCAUAUGGGCCCCGUUCUCUGGUCACAAUGUCACAGAACAGGAGACUGAUAAACAGAGGGAGGGUGUCGAGAACGAAUCUAAACAGACACACCACAAACGCAGCCGUAGGAAUGUUACGUCUUAUGUUGACCCCAAAAGAUGCUCUGCAUCAAGGCAAACGUAUCUCUCCGAAAGAACUGAAAACGUACGUCCAUACCAACCUGUCCACGAAUGCUCACAGCAGCUUCACUCCUAAUAGCCCCACAGCGGAACCAGCCCAGAUGCCCGUCAGCUGGUAAUCGGAUAAACAAGUUUCAGGGCGGCUGUAGAGGGAUGACGGCUCGGGGAUGGAAAGGAAGGGGCAGUCGAUGACAGCACAGCGGGGAUGCGUCUCAAAGCGCUCUGCUCACCGAAAGAAGCCAGACACAGAGUGACAUCCUAGAUGCUUCCAUUUCUACGAAAUCUACAAAAGGCAAGACUUAACAGACCCAGGAAGCAGAUCCGGGGUGUCCUG